CCUACGGGAGGCAGCAGUCGAGAAUCAUUCACAAUGGGGGAAACCCUGAUGGUGCGACGCCGCGUGGGGGAAUGAAGGUCUUCGGAUUGUAAACCCCUGUCAUGUGGGAGCAAAUUAAAAAGAUAGUACCACAAGAGGAAGAGACGACUAACUCUGUGCCAGCAGCCGCGGUAAUACCGAGGUCUCAAGCGUUGUUCGGAAUCACUGGGCGUAACGCGUGCGUAGGCUGUUUCGUAAGUCGUGUGUGAAAGGCGCGGGCUCAACCCGCGGACGGCAGAUGAUACUGGGAGACUAGAGUCAUGGAGGGGGAAGCGGAAUGCUAGGUGUAGCAGUGAAAUGCGUAGAUAUCGGGAGGAACACCAGUGGCGAAGGCGAGUUCCUGGACAUUAACUGACGCUGAGGCACGAAGGCGAGGGGAGCGAAAGGGAUUAGAUACCCGUGUAGUC
Molecule: ribosomal RNA, 446 nt
Filed under: uncultured bacterium
Lineage: Bacteria
Description: partial 16S ribosomal RNA
Rfam family: Bacterial small subunit ribosomal RNA
Source: RNAcentral